RNAcentral lists this ribosomal RNA (327 nucleotides) under uncultured bacterium. Its description in RNAcentral is "bacterial SSU rRNA". It matches the Rfam family "Bacterial small subunit ribosomal RNA", at positions 29 to 384 of the family's 1533-position model. The record is from RNAcentral.
AACGAACGCUGGCGGCAUGCCUAACACAUGCAAGUCGAACGAGACCUUCGGGUCUAGUGGCGCACGGGUGCGUAACGCGUGGGAAUCUGCCCUUAGGUUCGGAAUAACAGUUAGAAAUGACUGCUAAUACCGGAUAAUGACGUAAGUCCAAAGAUUUAUCGCCUAGGGAUGAGCCCGCGUAAGAUUAGCUAGUUGGUGGGGUAAAGGCCUACCAAGGCUACGAUCUUUAGCUGGCUGAGAGGAUNAUCAGCCACACUGGGACUGAGACACGGCCCAGACUCCUACGGGAGGCAGCAGUAAGGAAUAUUGGUCAAUGGACGCAAGUCU